This 301-nucleotide ribosomal RNA is filed under the name uncultured bacterium. RNAcentral describes it as "partial 16S ribosomal RNA". It matches the Rfam family "Bacterial small subunit ribosomal RNA", at positions 509 to 807 of the family's 1533-position model. The record is from RNAcentral.
CAGUCGCCACGGUAAAACGAAGGGGGCUAGCGUUGCUCGGAAUGACUGGGCGUAAAGGGCGCGUAGGCGGCGAUCAAAGUCAGGCGUGAAAUUCCUGGGCUCAACCUGGGGGCUGCGCUUGAUACUUGGUUGCUUGAGUGGGGAAGAGGGUCGUGGAAUUCCCAGUGUAGAGGUGAAAUUCGUAGAUAUUGGGAAGAACACCGGUGGCGAAGGCGGCGACCUGGUCCUUGACUGACGCUGAGGCGCGAAAGCGUGGGGAGCAAACAGGAUUAGAUACCCGCGUAGUCCCUGUCUCUUAUAC